GGUAGCGUGGCCGAGCGGUCCAAGGCGCUGGUUUAAGGCACCAGUCUCUUCGGGGGCAUGGGUAAGAAUCCCAUCGCUGCCA
This 82-nucleotide transfer RNA is filed under the name Daphnia pulex (common water flea). It matches the Rfam family "tRNA". Rfam says of the family: Transfer RNA (tRNA) molecules are approximately 80 nucleotides in length. Their secondary structure includes four short double-helical elements and three loops (D, anti-codon, and T loops). Lineage: Eukaryota; Metazoa; Arthropoda; Branchiopoda; Diplostraca; Daphniidae. The record is from Rfam by way of RNAcentral.